UAAAAGUCGUAACAAGGUUUCCGUAGGUGAACCUGCGGAAGGAUCAUUAAAGAAAUUUAAUAAUUUUGAAAAUGGAUUUUUUUGUUUUGGCAAGAGCAUGAGAGCUUUUACUGGGCAAGAAGACAAGAGAUGGAGAGUCCAGCCGGGCCUGCGCUUAAGUGCGCGGUCUUGCUAGGCUUGUAAGUUUCUUUCUUGCUAUUCCAAACGGUGAGAGAUUUCUGUGCUUUUGUUAUAGGACAAUUAAAACCGUUUCAAUACAACACACUGUGGAGUUUUCAUAUCUUUGCAACUUUUUCUUUGGGCAUUCGAGCAAUCGGGGCCCAGAGGUAACAAACACAAACAAUUUUAUCUAUUCAUUAAAUUUUUGUCAAAAACAAGAAUUUUCGUAACUGGAAAUUUUAAAAUAUUGAAAACUUUCAACAACGGAUCUCUUGGUUCUCGCAUCGAUGAAGAACGCAGCGAAAUGCGAUACGUAAUGUGAAUUGCAGAAUUCCGUGAAUCAUCGAAUCUUUGAACGCACAUUGCGCCCCUUGGUAUUCCAGGGGGCAUGCCUGUUUGAGCGUCAUUUCCUUCUCAAACAUUCUGUUUGGUAGUGAGUGAUACUCUUUGGAGUUAACUUGAAAUUGCUGGCCUUUUCAUCGGAUGUUUUUUUUCCAAAGAGAGGUUUCUCUGCGUGCUUGAGGUAUAAUGCAAGUACGGUCGUUUUAGGUUUUACCAACUGCGGCUAAUCUUUUUUUAUACUGAGCGUAUUGGAACGUUAUCGAUAAGAAGAGAGCGUCUAGGCGAACAAUGUUCUUAAAGUUUGACCUCAAAUCAGGUAAGAGUACCCGCUGAACUUAAGCAUAUCAA
Molecule: ribosomal RNA, 849 nt
Filed under: uncultured eukaryote
Lineage: Eukaryota
Description: eukaryotic LSU rRNA
Rfam family: 5.8S ribosomal RNA (bases 412-565)
Source: RNAcentral